Small nuclear RNA from Trichechus manatus latirostris (Florida manatee), 106 nucleotides. The record is from RefSeq and is a predicted model, not a curated record. Lineage: Eukaryota; Metazoa; Chordata; Mammalia; Sirenia; Trichechidae.
GUGCUCACUUCAGCAGCAUAUAUAAUAAAAUUGGAAAAAUACAGAAAAUAUUAGCAAGGUCCUAUGCAAAUAUGACAUGCAAAUUCAUAUAUUUUUGUAUUUUAUU